Molecule: non-coding RNA, 21 nt
Filed under: Arabidopsis thaliana (thale cress)
Lineage: Eukaryota; Viridiplantae; Streptophyta; Magnoliopsida; Brassicales; Brassicaceae
Source: RNAcentral
AUGAGGUUGCAGCUGAAUGAG